AGGACGAACGCUGGCGGCGUGCUUAACACAUGCAAGUCGAGCGGUAAGGCUCCUUCGGGAGUACACGAGCGGCGAACGGGUGAGUAACACGUGAGCAAUCUGCCCUUCACUUUGGGAUAACUUCCGGAAACGGAAGCUAAUACCGAAUACGACCAUCACAGACAUCUAUUGAUGGUGGAAAGUUCCGGCGGUGAAGGAUGAGCUCGCGGCCUAUCAGCUUGUUGGUGAGGUAACGGCCCACCAAGGCGACGACGGGUAGCCGGCCUGAGAGGGUGACCGGCCACACUGGGACUGAGACACGGCCCAGACUCCUACGGAGGCAGCAGUGGGGAAUAUUGGACAAUGGGCGAAAGCCUGAUCCAGCAACGCCGCGUGAGGGAUGACGGCCUUCGGGUUGUAAACCUCUUUCAGCAGGGACGAAGCGAAAGUGACGGUACCUGCAGAAGAAGCACCGGCCAACUACGUGCCAGCAGCCGC
Molecule: ribosomal RNA, 477 nt
Filed under: uncultured bacterium
Lineage: Bacteria
Description: SSU rRNA
Rfam family: Bacterial small subunit ribosomal RNA
Source: RNAcentral